AUGAACGCUGGCGGCAGGCCUAACACAUGCAAGUCGAGCGAAGUCUUCGGACUUAGCGGCGGACGGGUGAGUAACGCGUGGGAACAUGCCCUUUGGUGCGGAAUAGCCCCGGGAAACUGGGAGUAAUACCGCAUGUGCCCUUCGGGGGAAAGAUUUAUCGCCAAAGGAUUGGCCCGCGUUGGAUUAGGUAGUUGGUGGGGUAAUGGCCUACCAAGCCGACGAUCCAUAGCUGGUUUGAGAGGAUGAUCAGCCACACUGGGACUGAGACACGGCCCAGACUCCUACGGGAGGCAGCAGUGGGGAAUCUUAGACAAUGGGCGCAAGCCUGAUCUAGCCAUGCCGCGUGAUCGAUGAAGGCCUUAGGGUUGUAAAGAUCUUUCAGUGGGGAAGAUAAUGACGGUACCCACAGAAGAAGCCCCGGCUAACUCCGU
Molecule: ribosomal RNA, 431 nt
Filed under: uncultured bacterium
Lineage: Bacteria
Description: bacterial SSU rRNA
Rfam family: Bacterial small subunit ribosomal RNA
Source: RNAcentral